RNAcentral lists this long non-coding RNA (2717 nucleotides) under Sus scrofa (pig). RNAcentral's name for it is "lncRNA (ENSSSCG00055021215.1)". Lineage: Eukaryota; Metazoa; Chordata; Mammalia; Artiodactyla; Suidae. The record is from RNAcentral.
AUGAUUCAUAUUUCUAAUAUCCUCCUUAUUUUCCUGAAACCACUUAUUAUAGUUAUAUUUGGCAUCCUUUAGUGUAGACUUUUAUUUUUCUCUUUCUUUCAUGAUCCUUACAGUCUUAUUUUUUCACUCUUAUUUUAUUCUAUAACCAUAUUUUCCUUUAAUCAAGAGCCACUUAAGACUAGGGAUAAAAUCCUUGGCUCUAGAUUGUGCUGUUAUAAAUAAUUUAGUUGUUGGAGGUGAGGAAGCUGGUCGUGGUGUAUAGCCUGGGCUCAGGCACUGCUGCUCAAUUGCCACGGGUGUCCCUUUCACUGUAGGAACUUUCUGUCUAGUACCUCCUUCCCACGCAUCAUUCUUAUCAGAUGGUAGCCUCUCUCUGAUAUAACUGCCAGGUCAGCGGUUGACGUGGGGAGAAGUGAAUGCUUCGGGGCUGUCCAGGCUCCUGCAUGUGGAGUUAGGGAUUCCUCACCAUCCCUGGGCUCUAGAGCUCCUCCGUCAUUAGUUCCCAGCCUUGGGCUGGCACUGGCCUGAUUCUGCUGCGUUUUUGCCCCAUAGCAUAUCUUUCCAAGGGGUUCUUGAAGAUUUUGUAUUAAUUGCUGAGUAUGGCCCGAGAGUCAUCCAUCCUCAGACUUCGUCUGUGUUAUCGCUAUGUUUGAACUGAUCAGGGGAGAGGACAAUUGGCUCAUUCCAGCUCGUCAGUUUUUGGCCCCAGAAUCGUAGCGCAAGCGCUUUGUAUUCCAUAAAGAUUUAUGCUAAUGUUGGUGUUAUUAUUUUCUCACUUUUAUUUUUACUCAGUUGUAUGAAGAAUUGAUGUGCCUCUAGUUCUUUUGUAUCAUUUGUUUUCCAAGACUUAAAUUCAAAAUUUCAAAGAAGAAAAAUACAUACCUGCACACUCCCAUUUAGAAAGCCCUUUUUAUCUAGAAAUCAGGUCCUAUUUAUCAACGUAUAAUACUGUUGGUAUUUUGGAGACAAAUUUAUUUCUUUUCUGCUUUUUUUUUUUUUAGGGCUGCCCUUGCAGAAUAUGAAAGUUCCUAGGCUAGGGGUUGAAUUGGCACUGUGGCUGCCGCCUACACCACAGCCACAGCAACCCCAGAUCCCCCACCCACUGAGUGAGGCCAGGGAUCGACCAGGAUCAAACCUGCAUCCUCAUGGAUACUAGUCAGAUUUGUUUCCGCUGAGCCACAAUGGGAAUGCCUAGCUUGUUUUACUUAGUAGAGUGUUUUCAGAUUUCAUCCGUGCUGUGGUGUCAGUAUUCAUUCCUUUUUAUUGAUAAAUAAUAUUUGAUUUUAUUGAUAUAGCACGUUUUGGUUUUGUACUCAAGAGUUGAUGGACUUCUGGGUUGUUUCUACUUUCUGGAUAUUUUGAAAAAUGCUACUAUGCCAUAUUUGUGUACAAGUUUUGUUUUUAUUUCUUUUGGGUAUGUAACUAAGAAUGGAAUUUCUGGGUCGUGUGGUAAAUUUUCAUUACUAAUUGAAAAGACUUUCUCCACUGAGUGAUCUUGGGACUGUUGUUGAAAAUCAGCUGGCCGUAAAUGUGAGAAUUUAUUUCUGUAAUCUCAGAACUAUUUCAUUAAUCUGUAGGUCUGUCAUAUGACAGUCCCACACUAUCUCGAUUACUACAGUUUUGUAGUAAGUUUUGAAAUUAGAAAAUAUGAGUCCUCCAACUUUCUUCUUUUUGAAGAUUGUUCAGUUCUUCUGGGUCCUUUGAAUUUUCACAUGAAUUUCAGGAUAGGUUUGUCAAUUUCUACAAAGACUUUUGCUAGAACUGUCAUAGGGACUAUACUGAAUAUGUAGACCAAUUUGGGAGAAUAUAUAGUAAAUUAACAUUUAUUUUAUUAAGGUGGUAGUUUCAUAAAUUGACUCAUUUUAUCCUUCUUAAUAAAAAUUCACAUCAAAUUUCCUUCAUCUUGAUAAAUAAUUAUUAUUUCUGAUAUUUAAAAUUCCCUAUAUCCAUAUAUGUCAAAUGAUCUCAAGUAAGUUGACAACUUAGAAUUUUUUUUUUUUUUUUUUGCCUUUUCUAGGAUCGCUUUCGCGGCAUAUGGAGGUUCCCAGGCUUGGGGUCUAAUCGGAGCUGUAGAUACCAGCCUACGCCAGAGCCACAGCAACGCGGGAUCCGAGCUGCAUCUGCGACCUACACACAGCUAAUGGUAACACCAGAUCCUUAACCAACUGAGCAAGGCCAGGGAUUGAACCUGCAACCUCAUGGUUUCUAGUCGGAUUUGUUAACCACUGCGCUAUGAUGGGAACUAUGACAACUUAGAAUUUUUUAAAAAAUUCAAGUUGAAACUGUUGUUUAUACACUUUUUAGAGCUUAAGUUGUUUACUUGUAAAAAUUAAACAUCGGAAGUAAGUUUCAGCAGCUAACUGCUAAUUUCUUUCUUUGACAUACUUUAGAAAAUAAUAGAGGUAGAAAGAUAAGGUUUAAAAUAAUAUUUUGUUUUCUCCUUUGCUUAGCAUUUUGUAAUAAUUACUACUAAGUGGAAGUUAUCUAUUUGCUAAUAUACACAUGCAUAUGUGUACAUAUAUAUAUAUAUAUAUAUAUACAUUUAUAUGAGAUUUAUUUUCCAUUGUCGCAGUACACUAGAAGCUGCUCCAAAUCUUUUUUUUAAAUACGUAACUUAAUAUGAUGUGGUUUAUUGAAUUUGCUUACACAGUGAAUUCUGAAGCCUAGCCUAUUCUGAAAUAACAUUAAGAACUUUUUUUAAACCUAAAAAAAAAAAA